Molecule: ribosomal RNA, 254 nt
Filed under: uncultured bacterium
Lineage: Bacteria
Description: partial 16S ribosomal RNA
Rfam family: Bacterial small subunit ribosomal RNA
Source: RNAcentral
UACGUAGGGUCCAAGCGUUGUCCGGAUUUAUUGGGCGUAAAGAGCUCGUAGGCGGUUUGCUGCGUCGGAUGUGAAAACUCGGGGCUCAACCCCGAGACGCCAUCCGAUACUGGCGAGACUUGAGUCUGGUAGGGGAGAUCGGAAUUCCUGGUGUAGCGGUGAAAUGCGCAGAUAUCAGGAGGAACACCGGUGGCGAAGGCGGAUCUCUGGGCCAGUACUGACACUGAGGAGCGAAAGCGUGGGUAGCAAACAGG